GAUGAACGCUGGCGGCGUGCUUAACACAUGCAAGUCGAACGAGAAAUGUAGACGGAAACCUUCGGGCGGAAGCCUUCAUUUCGAGUGGCGGACGGGUGAGUAACGCGUGGGUAACCUGCCUCAUACAGGGGGAUAACAGUUGGAAACGACUGUUAAUACCGCAUAAGACCACAGCAUCGCAUGAUGCGGGGGUAAAAACUCCGGUGGUAUGAGAUGGACCCGCGUUCGAUUAGCCAGUUGGCGGGGUAACGGCCCUCCAAAGCGACGAUCGAUAGCCGAUCUGAGAGGAUGACCGGCCACAUUGGGACUGAGACACGGCCCAAACUCCUACGGGAGGCAGCAGUGGGGAAUAUUGCACAAUGGGGGAAACCCUGAUGCAGCGACGCCGCGUGAGUGAAGAAGUACUUCGGUAUGUAAAGCUCUAUCAGCAGGGAAGAAAAUGACGGUACCUGAGUAAGAAGCCCCGGCUAACUACGUG
This 478-nucleotide ribosomal RNA is filed under the name uncultured bacterium. RNAcentral's name for it is "partial 16S ribosomal RNA". It matches the Rfam family "Bacterial small subunit ribosomal RNA", at positions 28 to 507 of the family's 1533-position model. The record is from RNAcentral.